Molecule: ribosomal RNA, 247 nt
Filed under: uncultured bacterium
Lineage: Bacteria
Description: partial 16S ribosomal RNA
Rfam family: Bacterial small subunit ribosomal RNA
Source: RNAcentral
AUACGUAGGUGGCGAGCGUUGUCCGGAAUUACUGGGUGUAAAGGGAGUGUAGGCGGGAGAGCAAGUCAGAAGUGAAAAUUAUGGGCUUAACCCAUAACCUGCUUUUGAAACUGUACUUCUUGAGUGAAGUAGAGGCAAGCGGAAUUCCUAGUGUAGCGGUGAAAUGCGUAGAUAUUAGGAGGAACACCAGUGGCGAAGGCGGCUUGCUGGGCUUUUACUGACGCUGAGGCUCGAAAGCGUGGGGAGC